RNAcentral lists this long non-coding RNA (820 nucleotides) under Rhinopithecus bieti (black snub-nosed monkey). Its description in RNAcentral is "lncRNA (ENSRBIG00000045937.1)". Lineage: Eukaryota; Metazoa; Chordata; Mammalia; Primates; Cercopithecidae. The record is from RNAcentral.
UACUGAACUUGUUUGAUUUCUGAUUUUAUUUCAGCCGAUAUGUCAAAAUAUCUACUGAAACUGAAGAAACUGAAGGAUCCCUACACUGCUGUAAGGACCAAAAUAUUAAUGGGAAUGGCCCAAAUGGCAUACAUGAAGAAGGCUCACCAAGUGAAAUGGAAACAGAUGAGCCAGAUGAUGAAUCCAGCCAGGAUCAAGAACUUCCCUCAGAGAAUGAAAACAGUCAGUCUGAAGAUUCAGUUGGAGGAGAUAAUGAUUCUGAAAAUGGAUUAUGUACUGAGGACACUUGCAAAGGUCAACUCACGGGACACAAAAAACGAUUGUUUACAUUCCAGUUCAACAACUUAGGCAAUACUGAUAUCAACUACAUCAAAGAUGAUACCAGGCAUAUAAGAUUUGAUGACAGGCAGCUUAGGCUAGAUGAAAGAUCUUUUCUUGCUUUGGAUUGGGAUCCUGAUUUGAAAAAAAGAUAUUUUGAUGAAAAUGCUGCUGAGGUAAGUCAUCACUCACUCACUCAUUUACCUUUCCUUGAUUUACUUUAUGUGAUUACCAGAGAUAAUCAUACUGUUGUGUUACAUUCUUUGCUUCCACCAAAUGUUCAUUUUGCCAGUAAAAAAUUGGUCAUGAACUAAAAAAGAAAGUCUUUGCAAAAAUACCUUUUUUUUUCAAAGGUUCAGAGUUCAUUUUGAACAUGUGUUGCUCAUCCAUAUAGGAGUGUACAGGAAUUAUUUAGAAGUAUGAUAUAAAUCUCGGCCGGGCGCGGUGGCUCAAGUCUGUAAUCCCAGCACUUUGGGAGGCCGAGAUGGGCAGAUCACGAGGU